Molecule: ribosomal RNA, 490 nt
Filed under: uncultured bacterium
Lineage: Bacteria
Description: partial 16S ribosomal RNA
Rfam family: Bacterial small subunit ribosomal RNA
Source: RNAcentral
AUUGAACGCUGGCGGCAGGCCUAACACAUGCAAGUCGAACGGUAACAGGGAUCAGCUUGCUGAUUCGCUGACGAGUGGCGGACGGGUGAGUAAUGUCUGGGAAACUGCCUGAUGGAGGGGGAUAACUACUGGAAACGGUAGCUAAUACCGCAUAACGUCGCAAGACCAAAGAGGGGGACCUUCGUGCCUCUUGCCAUCGGAUGUGCCCAGAUGGGAUUAGCUAGUAGGUGGGGUAACGGCUCACCUAGGCGACGAUCCCUAGCUGGUCUGAGAGGAUGACCAGCCACACUGGAACUGAGACACGGUCCAGACUCCUACGGGAGGCAGCAGUGGGGAAUAUUGCACAAUGGGCGCAAGCCUGAUGCAGCCAUGCCGCGUGUAUGAAGAAGGCCUUCGGGUUGUAAAGUACUUUCAGCGGGGAGGAAGGGAGUAAAGUUAAUACCUUUGCUCAUUGACGUUACCCGCAGAAGAAGCACCGGCUAACUCCGUG